CAUAACAAAACUUCCUUCGACUAGAAGGCAAUACUGCAUAAUUGCCAAACUCUGUUAUGCAAAUUUUCGGCUGUUCUAAUCAUAUAUUACGUCUAUUAAACUUACAUGGUGUUCUUUCUUGGGUAUGUUUUAAUUUCACGGAUAAAAAAAAAAUCACUGUUUCUUGAUAAGAUUAAGUGUGUACAUUAACAUAUUGUAGUCACCAAAAUUAUCGACCAAAAACAGCAAUAAUUUGAUAGAAAAAAAAAUGAAACAAAAGAUUUGAUUAUAUAAAUUUUGCAUGAAAGUGAUCACGAGACAGAUUUUCUCGUGAGAAUGAUUUGGUUGGAAGUAAAAAAAAAAAGAGAGGAUAGUGGGAG
This 359-nucleotide long non-coding RNA is filed under the name Capsella rubella. Its description in RNAcentral is "long non-coding RNA (CRUB_LNC001230)". Lineage: Eukaryota; Viridiplantae; Streptophyta; Magnoliopsida; Brassicales; Brassicaceae. The record is from RNAcentral.